GCAGGUAUCGGUGGUGGUAUUUGUGUUCAGAUGUAAUAAGUAUUGAUGGUGGUUUUGUGGAAAUUGUGUGUUGUGUAAUUGUUUGAGGAUCGAGGUAUGAUUAAAUUUAGAAUGAAUUCGUAUAUUGCCGUAAUUUAAUAAGAUUUUGUGUAGUUUUGGAGGAUAAAAUGAUAAAUAGUAAAGUGAAUGUACUAGAAGAGUUCUCAGCCUUACUUUUUUGUGUAUCAUUGGUUGGUUACGUUUUAGUUUAAGCCCAUAGUGGAUUCGGUAUUGGAUUCACGACGGUGGUCAGUAGCGUCAUAAUUAAACCCUCUUUCAAUUGUCGUAUCUAUUGUCGUAUUAUUAAAGUUUGCCAAAAAGAAUCUAGUAAUAAGAUGACAUAAACCAUAUGUUUUACUAUUGGCAUAUUGGUAUUCUUUCUAGGAUAGCUGUCUGUAAUGCAAAGGUAUUAGUAACAUAAAAUUCUUUUGUAAGAUUAACUUUGUAUUUCUUGCCGACUCUACUCAGAAUCAACAUUCUAGAUAGCUUGAUAGCUGUGACUUCACACUAACAAUGAAAUAUUACAAAAUGUAAAUUGAUGAUUAAGGAGUUCACCUUAAAACUUUCAUGAAUAAGACUUUGUUAACAAUAUUUAAGUCAAUACUCUUAUUAUUUCAAUUCGAAGAUUCGUUUAUAUUAGCUUAAAAGAUAAAAGUGAUUUAUAUGACUUCAAAAUUAACUGUAAAAGUGUUGUAAAGAAUGAAUAAAUCUUAAAAUAUUUCUUUUCAACAGAUUUAAAAAAGCAAAAUCUAAAUUCGACUGAUGUUUAUUCGAAAGCUGAUGCUUGUUAUAAUUAUGGUCCCAUUUGAAUUUGAGCGAGAUUUUUUUGAGUAGUUUUUGAGUUGAUCCUGAUAAUGAUUAUUUAGUUAACUAUUUUUCCGACCGCCUGCGUCGAUUUUGUUUUCAUUUUAUUAAUUAUUAUCAAUGUCAAUUAAAAUUCACUUCUCGAUAAUAAAUACAAUUACUAUUUAUUGAAA
Melitaea cinxia (Glanville fritillary) is the source of this 1016-nucleotide long non-coding RNA. RefSeq lists it as uncharacterized. The transcript has 2 exons. NCBI's taxonomy places the organism in Eukaryota, Metazoa, Arthropoda, Insecta, Lepidoptera, Nymphalidae. The record is from RefSeq and is a predicted model, not a curated record.